GAUGAACGCUGGCGGCGUGCUUAACACAUGCAAGUCGAACGGACAGGCCCUGCUUUUGUGGCGCGCUCGAGUGGCGAACGCGUGAGUAACACGUGAGUAACCUGCCCUUGUCUUUGGGGUAUCUUCUGGAAACUGGGGCUCAUACAGGAUAGGAGCUACUGCAGCAUGGUGGGGAUUAGAAAGAUUCGGCGGUUGGGGAUGGACUGGCGGGUUCUCCGCUUGUUGGUGGGGUAGUGGCUUACCAAGUCUUCGACGGGUAGGCGGCCUGAGAGGGUGGACGGGCACAAGGGGACUGAGGGAGGGCGCAGUCGGGAAUGGGAGGCAGCAGGGGGGAGGAUGGCGGAAUGAGGGGAAGCGAGAUGUAGCGACGCUGGGUUCGUGAAGAUGGCUUACGAGGUGUAAACCACUGUCUCAUGUGACGUAGAGUGAUUGACGGUAAUGGGUAAAGAAGCAACGGCUAACUACGUG
This 468-nucleotide ribosomal RNA is filed under the name uncultured bacterium. Its description in RNAcentral is "partial 16S ribosomal RNA". It matches the Rfam family "Bacterial small subunit ribosomal RNA", at positions 28 to 507 of the family's 1533-position model. The record is from RNAcentral.